This 111-nucleotide ribosomal RNA is filed under the name Candidatus Moraniibacteriota bacterium. Lineage: Bacteria; Candidatus Moraniibacteriota. The record is from RNAcentral.
UCUGGUGACUUUUGCGGCUGGGAAACACCUCUUCUCAUCCCGAACAGAGAAGUUAAGCCAGUCAGCUCCGAUGGUACCUAUUUAUUUAGGGAGAGUAGGUCGUCGCCAGGA